AUACCAUGAUGAGGAUAUCUUUUGAGUAACUCCUUAAAUCUUUCUCAUACAUCAUACAAGCUCUCAUCUUCAAGUUGAUGGAAAGAUGUAUUCUCGUUCCUCAAUUU
Non-coding RNA from Citrus sinensis (sweet orange), 107 nucleotides. The record is from Rfam. NCBI's taxonomy places the organism in Eukaryota, Viridiplantae, Streptophyta, Magnoliopsida, Sapindales, Rutaceae.